UACGUAGGCAGCAAGCGUUGUUCGGAAUUACUGGGCGUAAAGAGGGUGUAGGCGGUGCUCUAAGUCUGUUGUGAAAUCUCCCGGCUUAACUGGGAGGGUGCGGCGGAGACUGGAGUGCUAGAGUGUGGGAGAGGUAAGCGGAAUUCCUGGUGUAGCGGUGAAAUGCGUAGAUAUCAGGAGGAACACCUGUGGUGUAGACAGCUUACUGGACCACGACUGACGCUGAGACACGAAAGCGUGGGUAGCAAACAGG
Molecule: ribosomal RNA, 253 nt
Filed under: uncultured bacterium
Lineage: Bacteria
Description: partial 16S ribosomal RNA
Rfam family: Bacterial small subunit ribosomal RNA
Source: RNAcentral